ACAGAGGUGGCAAGUGUUGUUCGGAUUUACUGGGCGUAAAGGGUCCGCAGGCGGCUUUGUUUGUCAGAUGUGAAAUCCCACGGCUCAACCGUGGAAUUGCAUUUGAAACUACAGGGCUAGAGUACAGGAGAGGAGAGGGGAAUUCAUGGUGUAGCGGUGAAAUGCGUAGAUAUCAGGAAGAACACCGGUGGCGAAAGCGCCUCUCUGGACUGAUACUGACGCUCAUGGACGAAAGCCAGGGGAGCAAAGAG
This 251-nucleotide ribosomal RNA is filed under the name uncultured prokaryote. RNAcentral describes it as "partial 16S rRNA". It matches the Rfam family "Bacterial small subunit ribosomal RNA", at positions 525 to 775 of the family's 1533-position model. The record is from RNAcentral.